This 86-nucleotide transfer RNA is filed under the name Thermoplasmatales archaeon. RNAcentral's name for it is "tRNA-Ser". It matches the Rfam family "tRNA". From Rfam's summary of the family: Transfer RNA (tRNA) molecules are approximately 80 nucleotides in length. Their secondary structure includes four short double-helical elements and three loops (D, anti-codon, and T loops). The record is from RNAcentral. Lineage: Archaea; Methanobacteriati; Thermoplasmatota; Thermoplasmata; Thermoplasmatales.
GCUGAGGUAGCCAAGCGGACAACGGCGCAGGCCUUGAGAGCCUGUGGGGCUUAUGCUCCUCGUGGGUUCAAAUCCCACCCUCAGCG